AGUGAACGCUGGCGGUAGGCCUAACACAUGCAAGUCGAACGGCAGCACAGUAAGAGCUUGCUCUUACGGGUGGCGAGUGGCGGACGGGUGAGGAAUACAUCGGAAUCUACUUUUUCGUGGGGGAUAACGUAGGGAAACUUACGCUAAUACCGCAUACGACCUACGGGUGAAAGCAGGGGAUCUUCGGACCUUGCGCGAUUGAAUGAGCCGAUGUCGGAUUAGCUAGUUGGCGGGGUAAAGGCCCACCAAGGCGACGAUCCGUAGCUGGUCUGAGAGGAUGAUCAGACACACUGGAACUGAGACACGGUACAGACUCCGACGGGAGGCAGCAGUGGGGAAUAUUGGACAAUGGGCGCAAGCCUGAUCCAGCCAUACCGCGUGGGUGAAGAAGGACUUCGGGUUGUAAAGCCAUUUUGUUGGGAAAGAAAAGCAGCAGGUUAAUACCCCGCUGUUCUGACGGUACCCAAAGAAUAAGCACCGGCUAACUUCGUG
RNAcentral lists this ribosomal RNA (492 nucleotides) under uncultured bacterium. RNAcentral describes it as "partial 16S ribosomal RNA". It matches the Rfam family "Bacterial small subunit ribosomal RNA", at positions 29 to 507 of the family's 1533-position model. The record is from RNAcentral.